This 75-nucleotide transfer RNA is filed under the name Verrucomicrobia bacterium TMED71. RNAcentral describes it as "tRNA-Met". It matches the Rfam family "tRNA". Rfam says of the family: Transfer RNA (tRNA) molecules are approximately 80 nucleotides in length. Their secondary structure includes four short double-helical elements and three loops (D, anti-codon, and T loops). Lineage: Bacteria; Pseudomonadati; Verrucomicrobiota. RNAcentral also lists the same sequence under 7 other names. The record is from RNAcentral.
GCCAGGGUAGCUCAGUGGUAGAGCAGGAGACUCAUAAGCUCUUGGUCGGCAGUUCAAAUCUGCCCCUUGGCACCA